UGGGGAAUUUUGCACAAUGGGGGAAACCCUGAUGCAGCGACGCCGCGUGAUUUAGAAGGCCUUCGGGUUGUAAAAAUCUUUUCUAUGGGAAGAAAAUGACAGUACCAUAGGAAUAAGGACCGGCUAAUUACGUGCCAGCAGCCGCGGUAAUACGUAAGGUCCGAGCGUUGUCCGGAAUCAUUGGGCGUAAAGGGUACGUAGGCGGGUAAGCAAGUUAGAAGUGAAAUCCUAUAGCUCAACUAUAGUAAGCUUUUAAAACUGCUCAUCUUGAGGUAUGGAAGGGAAAGUGGAAUUCCUAGUGUAGCGGUGAAAUGCGCAGAUGUUAGGAGGAAUACCGGUGGCAAAGGCGAAGUUGUGGCCAUAACCUGACGCUGAGGUACGAAAGCGUGGGUAGCAAACAGG
Molecule: ribosomal RNA, 402 nt
Filed under: bacterium
Lineage: Bacteria
Description: partial 16S ribosomal RNA
Rfam family: Bacterial small subunit ribosomal RNA
Source: RNAcentral